CAGCAGCCGCGGUAAUACGGAGGGGGCUAGCGUUGUUCGGAAUUACUGGGCGUAAAGCGCACGUAGGCUGCUUUGUAAGUCAGAGGUGAAAGCCCGGGGCUCAACCCCGGAUGUGCCUUUGAGACUGCAGGGCUAGAACGUCGGAGAGGUGAGUGGAAUUCCGAGUGUAGAGGUGAAAUUCGUAGAUAUUCGGAAGAACACCAGUGGCGAAGGCGGCUCACUGGACGACUGUUGACGCUGAGGUGCGAAAGCGCGGGGAACAAACAGGAUUAGAGACCCGUGUAGUCCCUGUCUCUUAUAC
Molecule: ribosomal RNA, 301 nt
Filed under: uncultured bacterium
Lineage: Bacteria
Description: partial 16S ribosomal RNA
Rfam family: Bacterial small subunit ribosomal RNA
Source: RNAcentral